RNAcentral lists this ribosomal RNA (822 nucleotides) under uncultured bacterium. Its description in RNAcentral is "bacterial SSU rRNA". It matches the Rfam family "Bacterial small subunit ribosomal RNA", at positions 64 to 892 of the family's 1533-position model. The record is from RNAcentral.
AAUCUGUGGAAAGAGGAUUCGUCCAAUUGAAGCAGAGGACAGUGGCGGACGGGUGAGUAACGCGUGAGGAACCUGCCUUUCAGAGGGGGACAACAGUUGGAAACGACUGCUAAUACCGCAUAACACAUAGGUGUCGCAUGGCACUUAUGUCAAAGAUUUAUCGCUGAAAGAUGGCCUCGCGUCUGAUUAGCUAGUUGGUGAGGUAACGGCCCACCAAGGCGACGAUCAGUAGCCGGACUGAGAGGUUGAACGGCCACAUUGGGACUGAGAUACGGCCCAGACUCCUACGGGAGGCAGCAGUGGGGAAUAUUGGGCAAUGGGCGCAAGCCUGACCCAGCAACGCCGCGUGAAGGAAGAAGGCUUUCGGGUUGUAAACUUCUUUUGUCAGGGACGAGUAGAAGACGGUACCUGACGAAUAAGCCACGGCUAACUACGUGCCAGCAGCCGCGGUAAUACGUAGGUGGCAAGCGUUGUCCGGAUUUACUGAGUGUAAAGGGCGUGUAGCCGGGAGGGCAAGUCAGAUGUGAAAUCCACGGGCUCAACUCGUGAACUGCAUUUGAAACUACUCUUCUUGAGUAUCGGAGAGGCAAUCGGAAUUCCUAGUGUAGCGGUGAAAUGCGUAGAUAUUAGGAGGAACACCAGUGGCGAAGGCGGAUUGCUGGACGACAACUGACGGUGAGGCGCGAAAGCGUGGGGAGCAAACAGGAUUAGAUACCCUGGUAGUCCACGCUGUAAACGAUGAAUACUAGGUGUGCGGGGACUGACCCCCUGCGUGCCGCAGCUAACGCAAUAAGUAUUCCACCUGGGGAGUACGAUCGCAAG